This 222-nucleotide unclassified non-coding RNA is filed under the name uncultured Inocybaceae. RNAcentral describes it as "sequence contains ITS2". The record is from RNAcentral. Lineage: Eukaryota; Fungi; Basidiomycota; Agaricomycetes; Agaricales.
AAGUUCUCAACCACAUCAAUUCUUUGGUGAGGCUUGGACGUGGGGGGUAUUUUUGCGGGCUUCUGAAAAUUUGAAGUCGGCUCCCCUGAAAUGCAUUAGUGGUAUCUGAGCAGAAGAAACUACUACAGGUGUGAUAAUUAUCUAUGCCUCAGUAUGCUGCAUAAUCAGAUUGCACUGCUUCUAACGAGUGGAGAUCCCUUUUGGGGGGACCACAUUUGAUGA